This is a long non-coding RNA of Suricata suricatta (meerkat), 393 nucleotides long. RefSeq lists it as uncharacterized. The transcript has 2 exons. The record is from RefSeq and is a predicted model, not a curated record. Lineage: Eukaryota; Metazoa; Chordata; Mammalia; Carnivora; Herpestidae.
AGCUCCAGUUGUCCAAGCUUGAAAUUGGUGAUUCCUAUGGAUCCCAGACGCAAACUACCUUCAUCUAUCCCCGGGGCAGCAAAUGCAAAUGCCUUCAGGGGCUAGGCAAGAAAUAUAAAGAAUGGAUGAAGGGGACUAAGGAGGGGCCAUGGUGAACUGGAGGGAACCGUGUCACAUCUGAAGGGGCAGCUGUCUCUCACAUCAGCCAGUUGUUGCCCGGUGGAUGGCCCUGUAAAAAGAAGCCAUGUGAACCAUGCUUGCUACGUGAGGACACAGCAAGGAGACAGCCUCUGAAUCCAGGAAGAGGUCUCUCACCAGAACCGGAACACGCUAGCACUGUGAUCUUUCGCCUCCAGAGAUGUGAAAAAAAUAUACAUUUCUGUGUUUUUUAAA